Molecule: unclassified non-coding RNA, 133 nt
Filed under: uncultured fungus
Lineage: Eukaryota; Fungi
Description: sequence contains ITS1
Source: RNAcentral
CGAUGAGCGCGCAGGCUGCUGUUCCACGCAAGAAAUUGGCGUUCGUUGAUCCUGCCGAAUUUACUCCUCAUUUCGCGUGGCAGAAGAGCGUUCGCGAUGAGGAGAUGGAGCAUGUGUUCUGCGAGGGCGUUGA